UCAUCGAAAGACAAUGAGAUGCUCAUAGAAAAACUUUGAAGUAAAAUUUUUGAUAUGGCGCUGCUUAAACUUUGUUCUGUUAUCACUAUUCUUCUCAUGGUUACCACUAUUAAUAUGCCAAGCUUCUCAAAGACACAAGUUGUAGCUGCACCAGAUGUUGAUCAUAAUCUCUCGGGACUCAAGAAAAGACUACUUCCACAACUUGCUACUUGUUAUAGAAGUUGUACCUCCGACGAUGAUUGCCUUACCGAUUGCUGGAUUUGUUGUACUUGCAGUAUCUAUGUUAUAACUAACGAUUUAAGGUGUCGGGGAGUAUAAAAAAGGUGGAUGUCUUUGUGUAUUAUGACAACAAAUUAAAGGUUGCUAAAACCCUAUUAUGCAUAAGUUAAUUCCUCGUGAUUUCAGUAUUUCAGAUGUACUACCUCGUUCCCUUGUUUUUCAUGCUUCGCACGAAUAAUGAAGAAACUCAUAUCAAUGGUUUUCUAUUCAAAAAUAAAAAUGGAUUCAUUCCAAAGA
Molecule: long non-coding RNA, 516 nt
Organism: Nicotiana tabacum (common tobacco)
Lineage: Eukaryota; Viridiplantae; Streptophyta; Magnoliopsida; Solanales; Solanaceae
Source: RefSeq, a predicted model, not a curated record